GAUGAACGCUGGCGGCGUGCCUAAUACAUGCGAGUCGAGCGAACAGACGAGGAGCUUGCUCCUCUGACGUUAGCGGCGGACGGGUGAGUAACACGUGGAUAACCUACCUAUAAGACUGGGAUAACUUCGGGAAACCGGAGCUAAUACCGGAUAAUAUAUUGAACCGCAUGGUUCAAUAGUGAAAGACGGUUUUGCUGUCACUUAUAGAUGGAUCCGCGCCGCAUUAGCUAGUUGGUAAGGUAACGGCUUACCAAGGCAACGAUGCGUAGCCGACCUGAGAGGGUGAUCGGCCACACUGGAACUGAAACACGGUCCAGACUCCUACGGGAGGCAGCAGUAGGGAAUCUUCCGCAAUGGGCGAAAGCCUGACGGAGCAACGCCGCGUGAGUGAUGAAGGUCUUCGGAUCGUAAAGCUCUGUUAUUAGGGAAGAACAAAUGUGUAAGUAACUAUGCACGUCUUGACGGUACCUAAUCAGAAAGCCACGGCUAACUACGUG
Molecule: ribosomal RNA, 497 nt
Filed under: uncultured bacterium
Lineage: Bacteria
Description: partial 16S ribosomal RNA
Rfam family: Bacterial small subunit ribosomal RNA
Source: RNAcentral